Molecule: ribosomal RNA, 500 nt
Filed under: uncultured bacterium
Lineage: Bacteria
Description: partial 16S ribosomal RNA
Rfam family: Bacterial small subunit ribosomal RNA
Source: RNAcentral
AUUGAACGCUGGCGGAAUGCUUUACACAUGCAAGUCGAACGGCAGCACGGACUUCGGUCUGGUGGCGAGUGGCGAACGGGUGAGUAAUAUAUCGGAACGUGCCCAGUCGUGGGGGAUAACGUAGCGAAAGCUACGCUAAUACCGCAUACGAUCUACGGAUGAAAGCGGGGGAUCGCAAGACCUCGCGCGAUUGGAGCGGCCGAUAUCAGAUUAGGUAGUUGGUGAGGUAAAGGCUCACCAAGCCGACGAUCUGUAGCUGGUCUGAGAGGACGACCAGCCACACGGGGACUGAGAUACGGCCCAGACUCCUACGGGAGGCAGCAGUGGGGAAUUUUGGACAAUGGACGCAAGUCUGAUCCAGCCAUUCCGCGUGCAGGACGAAGGCCUUCGGGUUGUAAACUGCUUUUGUACAGAACGAAAAGGUCUCUAUUAAUACUAGGGGCUCAUGACGGUACUGUAAGAAUAAGCACCGGCUAACUACGUGCCAGCCGCCGCCGUAA